UACAGAGGUCUCAAGCGUUGUUCGGAUUCAUUGGGCGUAAAGGGUGUGUAGGUGGCGCGCUAAGUCGGGUGUGAAAUUUCGGAGCUUAACUCCGAAACUGCAUUCGAUACUGGCGUGCUUGAGGACUGGAGAGGAGACUGGAAUUCAUGGUGUAGCAGUGAAAUGCGUAGAGAUCAUGAGGAAGACCAGUGGCGAAGGCGGGUUGCUGGGCUGACACUGACGCUGAGGCGCGAAAGCCAGGGGAGCAAACGGG
Molecule: ribosomal RNA, 253 nt
Filed under: uncultured bacterium
Lineage: Bacteria
Description: partial 16S ribosomal RNA
Rfam family: Bacterial small subunit ribosomal RNA
Source: RNAcentral